RNAcentral lists this non-coding RNA (30 nucleotides) under Mus musculus (house mouse). The record is from RNAcentral. Lineage: Eukaryota; Metazoa; Chordata; Mammalia; Rodentia; Muridae.
UUGACUUGUAAGAUGGUGAUCCUCAGCUCC